CGGAGCGUGGCGCAGUUUGGUAGCGCACCUGCUUUGGGAGCAGGGGGUCGAAGGUUCAAAUCCUUUCGCUCCGACCA
This 77-nucleotide transfer RNA is filed under the name Halanaerobium salsuginis. RNAcentral describes it as "tRNA_Pro_TGG". It matches the Rfam family "tRNA". From Rfam's summary of the family: Transfer RNA (tRNA) molecules are approximately 80 nucleotides in length. Their secondary structure includes four short double-helical elements and three loops (D, anti-codon, and T loops). RNAcentral also lists the same sequence under 9 other names. The record is from RNAcentral. Lineage: Bacteria; Bacillati; Bacillota; Clostridia; Halanaerobiales; Halanaerobiaceae.